GGACCCUUAGCUCAGCUGGUUAGAGCACCUGACUCAUAAUCAGGGGGUCGCUGGUUCAAGCCCAGCAGGGUCCA
RNAcentral lists this transfer RNA (74 nucleotides) under Chitinophagaceae bacterium. RNAcentral describes it as "tRNA-Ile". It matches the Rfam family "tRNA". From Rfam's summary of the family: Transfer RNA (tRNA) molecules are approximately 80 nucleotides in length. Their secondary structure includes four short double-helical elements and three loops (D, anti-codon, and T loops). Further hydrogen bonds mediate the characteristic L-shaped molecular structure. tRNAs have two regions of fundamental functional importance: the anti-codon, which is responsible for specific mRNA codon recognition, and the 3' end, to which the tRNAs corresponding amino acid is attached (by aminoacyl-tRNA synthetases). tRNAs cope with the degeneracy of the genetic code in two manners: having more than one tRNA (with a specific anti-codon) for a particular amino acid; and 'wobble' base-pairing, i.e. permitting non-standard base-pairing at the 3rd anti-codon position. Lineage: Bacteria; Pseudomonadati; Bacteroidota; Chitinophagia; Chitinophagales; Chitinophagaceae. The record is from RNAcentral.